Molecule: ribosomal RNA, 21 nt
Filed under: Fomitopsis quercina
Lineage: Eukaryota; Fungi; Basidiomycota; Agaricomycetes; Polyporales; Fomitopsidaceae
Description: Daedalea quercina partial 28S ribosomal RNA
Source: RNAcentral
GGUAGGGUUACCCGCUGAACU